CAGCCGUUGAUACAUGGGGUUGGGGUGAAGUCUGUCCAGCAGGAGCUCUGAGGGCAGGGUGGUAAGAGUUGGCGUGUCCAGCACCCUACUGAUAAAUGAGCACAAGUAUUUUUAACAGGUCUGAAACAACUUGAGGGAUGAGGAUGGUAAAGAAGGCAACCAAAGCAAAGCCACCAAUGACAAAGAUUAUAACGCUCAUUGAGUAGGCUGUGGACGCAGGAGGGGGCGGAUAGAACUGGAUGGGUUUUGGAAUCGAGGGUGCAGUCUUCACACUGAUUGUAUUUUCCGGACAAAAGGAUAUCAAUGGUACCUUCUCCACAUUUGGGCACCAAGCAGUACUCCCAGCGUACGUUAGGGUUUGCAGUGUAGCACCACGGCCGGUCGCUCUCCGCUCCA
Molecule: long non-coding RNA, 396 nt
Organism: Triplophysa dalaica
Lineage: Eukaryota; Metazoa; Chordata; Actinopteri; Cypriniformes; Nemacheilidae
Exons: 3
Source: RefSeq, a predicted model, not a curated record